Molecule: ribosomal RNA, 301 nt
Filed under: uncultured bacterium
Lineage: Bacteria
Description: partial 16S ribosomal RNA
Rfam family: Bacterial small subunit ribosomal RNA
Source: RNAcentral
CAGUCGCCGCGGGAAUACGAAGGGGGCUAGCGUUGCUCGGAAUGACUGGGCGUAAAGGGCGCGUAGGCGGCAUAUACAGUCAGGCGUGAAAUUCCCGGGCUUAACCUGGGGGCUGCGUUUGAUACGUAUGGGCUAGAGUGGGGAAGAGGGUUGUGGAAUUCCCAGUGUAGAGGUGAAAUUCGUAGAUAUUGGGAAGAACACCGGUGGCGAAGGCGGCAACCUGGUCCUUGACUGACGCUGAGGCGCGAAAGCGUGGGGAGCAAACAGGAUUAGAUACCCGUGUAGUCCCUGUCUCUUAUAA